This 221-nucleotide ribosomal RNA is filed under the name uncultured bacterium. Its description in RNAcentral is "partial 16S ribosomal RNA". It matches the Rfam family "Bacterial small subunit ribosomal RNA", at positions 113 to 334 of the family's 1533-position model. The record is from RNAcentral.
CGACGUGAGCAACCUGCCUUUCAGUGGGGGACAACAGUUGGAAACGACUGCUAAUACCGCAUAAUGCAUUUUGACCGCAUGGUCGAGAUGCCAAAGAUUUAUUGCUGAAAGAUGGGCUCGCGUCUGAUUAGAUAGUUGGUGAGGUAACGGCCCACCAAGUCGACGAUCAGUAGCCGGACUGAGAGGUUGAACGGCCACAUUGGGACUGAGAUACGGCCCAG